Long non-coding RNA from Vidua macroura (Pin-tailed whydah), 570 nucleotides. RefSeq lists it as uncharacterized. Lineage: Eukaryota; Metazoa; Chordata; Aves; Passeriformes; Viduidae. The transcript has 3 exons. The record is from RefSeq and is a predicted model, not a curated record.
GCGCUCGGCACCUGGGCCCGCCGCGCUGGGACGGCGGCUCCGCACCUGCGGCGGAACCAAUUGGGAAUUCCUAGGCAAUUUUCUCAAUUUCUGCCUCCGCUCCUGCAACAUCUAGUACCAGUGCCACCUACAGGAAUAAUUGCAUUUUCGAGCUGCUUUCAAGUAACUAGAAUUCCGCGUUUGGGAGUUCUGGUAGCUCUGUCGUCUUCCUGGACGCACAGCAGCAAGUCUGACUUCGAAAGGCGUUGUUUUUCUUCGUGACUUUCGUUUGAGACCACGGACCGAUGGAGGUUCGCUCCUCUGUGCCACGGCAGUGGGAGUGACGGAGCUCUUCCCGCGGGAACCCGGGAGACGCAGCCAGCAAAGGCUCGUUGAUGCCCUGCUGCUUUGGACCUCCGAGAUGACCUGGGGUUCUUCUGCAGGUAGGAACAUCUGUGUCAUGCAGAACACAGAACACAGUUGUCCGUCUGGGUGAAAAAGGGCUGCAUUUUCCUUCAAAACCAUGUCUUCCCCUGCAUUACAUAGUCACAAAACAACGAGGAGUUUGAGGUUUUUUUUUUCCCUGAUAGA